Carica papaya (papaya) is the source of this 3136-nucleotide non-coding RNA. The record is from RefSeq and is a predicted model, not a curated record. NCBI's taxonomy places the organism in Eukaryota, Viridiplantae, Streptophyta, Magnoliopsida, Brassicales, Caricaceae.
AUAACAAGAAUAGUAAUAAUGAUAAUAAUUUUGAGCCAUGAGUAGAUUCUGUAAUUUUGUUGCAUUUAAUAGUCCUGUGGAAGCUACUAGUUUAUUGACAGAAAAUGACCUCCUAAGUUACGUGCUUCUUCCAAGCCACUAGCCAGCAACAUUGACAUAUAAAUAUAAGUUGUGUUUUCAGCUGUUAGAUAUUAAUAUAUCUUUUAUUGUAUACAUGUGACUUAACUUGCACAAUUAGAUCUUGAAAAGUUGCUUGUUUGGCUUUUUUCAUAAAAUAUUUUGCUUUAAAUAUGAUGCUUUAUAGCCAGACCGUUUAUUGUAGAAUACCCAUUUCUUAGAUGUUUGGUUUAGCUGGGGAAAUUUUUCAACUAAACAAUCUGAAUCUCCUAAAAGGGAUCUAAUUCUACUUCAUCGCACUUCACACCUCAAAUAAUUGAUAAUUCAAUCAAUUUUUUUGGUGCAAAAUAGAGGAUAUCUCUUGACUGGGGAGAGAAUGAGGAAAUCUUAUAUGGCCAUGUUCUGAAAGGUACUUCUGGCACACCAAGAAGCAUAAGGGUACUUUUGGGAAUACAAAUCCCCUAGAGACAUGAUAGAGCUUGUUGCUCAGAGGAUAGGAUUACAUGGUUACAAACCAUGACGCAGGGGUUUGAAUCCUUCCUCACCCACAACCAGCAUAAAAAAGGAUCUUACUCGUUGGUUAGGAAAAUCAUGAUUGAGAUAACGGAUUUAAAGCUACAGAACUUGAGUGAUUCUCUUAUUGAAAUAAUAUGGCCUUAGAUUUUAUCUUAAUUAGAGUAAUUAUUUAUAGGUAAUAGUUUUCACCAUAUAGUAUUCAUAUUUCUAGUCUAAACCAAUGUAUUUUUUAUAUACCUUGUGAUUUCUCCUCAAAAUGGCGUGGUAAGAACAACCUAACAAGUACAAGUAUUAGUAGCAUUGUGAAAACACUUCCCCCAAAUUGAUAUAUUUCCUUAUAGUAAUUGUUACCUCUUGAGAGGAUUGAUGACUACAUUUUGAUGCACUUGUUAAUGCUAUUGCAUUAUAAAUUUUUAAUUGGAUAGUUGUAAAUAGUCCCAAAACUAGGGAAUAAAAGAUUAUCCUAAACGUACACAGGGUACUUGCCUGUGAUUCUCAAAUAACGUGAUUCAUUGAGAUGGAAGGCACAAAAACAAGAACAUGAGAAGAGGGUUACCUACUUUUAAUACUUAAAUGAAUCGUAUUCUAAAUUCUUUAAUAGAUAGUGAAUCAAAUUUUUCCAAGUAAAAUUUAUGCCUAUGACUAAUCAGUUAACAACCAAGCACUAUACUACAGAGUUAUUAAAAAACAACAGGAGAUAAAAGGAUUUAAUGAAAAAGAAAAUUCAAAACUAUGGAUGUAACAUGAUAUUCUUCCAAGACAAGUGAAGCUACCAUAUUGUUUUUGAGGAAGAAGCGAACAUAUAUUUAAUCUGCCGUCCAUUGGAUUUUUGAAAACUGAGUCACAAAGAGAAACUUUGCUACUAAUAGGAUACAAAUGUAAUUGUGAAUAAACAAAAGUGAUCAUGAAUUGUGGUUGCAGAAUGCAGCUAUGCUAUGCUGAUGCUGUCAUGAAUCAUAGUUACAGGCUGCAACUUGCUGGAAGUUACAAAAACUUAUUGGUUGCUGAGAGUGCAUCAUGUAAAAAGCAAUAAAAGUUGCUUGCCACGCGUGAAAUGGAGAGAAUAAAUAAAGUGAAUGUUUGAUAGGCAAUGUUGAUGGUUGGAAUAUUCUGAAAAGAACAUCUCAAAUGUCAAGCAAGCCAUAAAUUACAGUUCUCUAGGAGUGAACAUGUUGUGUGUCAUGCACAAACUAUUGGUUAGUGUUAAAAACACUGCUACUGAUUCUUGAAGUCUGUGAAAACUCACAUAGCCAUUAAAUGAUCAUAAAAUUACAGUUUUUGCUUCUAUAUUCAGUGAUGUGUUUGCUUCUCCUCUCUACAGGACUUGUGUUAAGAAACUUUUUAUGGGCUUUCGUGGAGAGACGUUUUUAUUUAAUGGGUUUUUACUUUUAGGAAAUCUAGAGCUGUGAUGUAGGGGGUGUAGGUUGUAGCAUCAAUUGAUGAUUGGUAGCACAGAGACAUUGGUUGGAGUGAUGCUGUUGUUUUUACUGAUUUGGAACAAAUACAGGACAAUCAUAUAUGCAAAUUGACAGUUGCCAGAUGGGUUUACAUGCAUGAUGAACUGUGUAUCUGAAGAACUGGGUGUCUGAACUUGGGCAGGAACAGUGUGUAAGCAAGGAAGCAAGAAGGAGCAGCAACCCCCCUUGCCCUCAAGCCAAAAGGUUUUUUUGUUUUUGACAGCUAAAAAAGAGAAUGUGAAUGUUCAGUUAUACAGAUUUACACACCCCGGUAUAGGUAAAUGUGACCUACACUUUUCAAGAAGCACAUUUUUCUUUUCAUAGAUUUGGAUGGAAUUUGGCUACAAAAAGGGGUCUGGACAAAAUCUUUAAAAGAAUCUGACCCUCACCUACAUACCUAACUGCCUACUUCUCUCUUUUUCACUUCCCUAUCCUUCUCCCCAAUGAAAUUUUGGACCCAAAUCAUUUUUCUUUAAAGCUUUUUCUUGUCAUUCAGACUUUAAUUUUUUCCUCACAAAUUUUCACAGCCACAGCACCAUGUAUUUUAUCACACACCCAGGUCCCACAUUACACACUCAAUGCCUUACCUAUAUUUUAUCUUGACAUGUUUCUAGAUCUACUAAUUAGGAUUUAAUUCUACUUUGGUUGGGUUUAAAAGUAAAACUCAUCUGUUGACUUCUUGCUCUUGACAUACAACUGUAUCAGACUGUUCAAACAAUGGAUUGAGCAAGAAAUUAUCAAACCAACAACUUCACCACACCAUUAUUUCACCAAUAAAGAGAAAAGAAAAACAAUCUCACUGUCAAAAGGUGUAUUUUAUAGAUUACACGUCUUUGCAUGAACUUUUUCCCUGUUAAAAACCCUAACCCAAGUGACAAAACCAUCCAUAUGGACCAACCUCUAUGAUGUCUCUCUUUUUCUACCAACUUCUUGACAUUAUAAUCUUUGAACAUGUAAAUGUCUUAAAAAUAAAACCCAAAUGAUUGAACAGAGCACAGUUCCACAAGCAAUUAUGUUUUUGAUUUAUCAAAAUUUUGAUUUGGGUG